Clarias gariepinus (North African catfish) is the source of this 771-nucleotide long non-coding RNA. RefSeq lists it as uncharacterized. NCBI's taxonomy places the organism in Eukaryota, Metazoa, Chordata, Actinopteri, Siluriformes, Clariidae. The transcript has 5 exons. The record is from RefSeq and is a predicted model, not a curated record.
GAAGUUGAGGAGGGCUCAGUAAAGGUGCAGAAGCUGAAUGCUGUAUGGGGAGCUGCUGCACUCGUUCCUGCUCUGCUUCUCUCCAUUCUUACUGCCGUUCUGUGCAUUAAGAGGAAGAGAGCAGCUGAAAGAGACACAGACAUUCAGAGUAUUUCAAUGCCUGGAGAUGACACAUACACAGCACUGAACCACAUGACCAUGUCUCCGGAUUAUGACACUCUGCAAAAUGUUCAACACACUGCCAGUGACACUUAUGCAACUCUAAACCCUGCAACCAUGUCCUCUGAUUAUGAUACUCUUCAGGUAUGAUACUCUGUGAUACUCUGAGGAAGUGACGUGGUCAGAUGUUUGAAGCCAGCAUCUCAACUGGCUACUCGACUCAGUGGGAAGAAGUGCUCCAGACCUGGAGAAUAAUACCUGUUGUGACUUUAUCUUCAGCAUCAUGAACAGCACAGGAAGGAUACUCAGGGGCAGAGUUUCAGGAUUAGAGUUAAACAGCAUUAGAAUGUCAGAACAAAUACAUGCAUUAAGUAAUUAUUACUUGUUUGUUAUUUAAGCAGUUUCACUAGUUCGUCAUUCCAUUUUUACAAAUUUAAUGUAUUGUAUAUAUUAUUUCUAAAUAGUUCUAAGCAGUCUCUGGCAAAAGAAUUUCCAUUAUCUAAUCUUACCUUUCCUUACCUUAAAGCAAAUUACUCUUUUAAUGACUUGAGUAUGGGCCAGGUCAGAUGUCAUGUCCUGUGUCUAAGGCAAAUACGUUAUUCUGAUCCAAUA